GUAAUUUGAAUUGAAUUGUAUUGAUUUCCGUAGAACACAUUGUUAAAGAAAAACUGGUUCCGUCACGAUAUUCCUUCUUAUAGUCGCUAAGUCCAUACGAACACGUUGAAAUGUUUUGUAAUUUGAAAAAUUUAUAAAAUGUAAGAUCAUGGAAAUAUACACAAUUUACCGAUAGAAUUGAUAAAUUAAUCAAUAGGGAUACUCGACAAAGUGAUUUCUGAUGAUGAACUAUGUAAAUAGUUCGAAACGUUAAAUGACUUAACAAUAAAAUAAAUACAAAAUCAAGAGGAA
RNAcentral lists this long non-coding RNA (291 nucleotides) under Onthophagus taurus. Its description in RNAcentral is "uncharacterized LOC111419602". Lineage: Eukaryota; Metazoa; Arthropoda; Insecta; Coleoptera; Scarabaeidae. The record is from RNAcentral.